RNAcentral lists this ribosomal RNA (253 nucleotides) under uncultured bacterium. Its description in RNAcentral is "partial 16S ribosomal RNA". It matches the Rfam family "Bacterial small subunit ribosomal RNA", at positions 524 to 776 of the family's 1533-position model. The record is from RNAcentral.
UACGAAGGGAGCUAGCGUUGUUCGGAAUCACUGGGCGUAAAGCGCACGUAGGCGGAUUUGUCAGUCAGGGGUGAAAUCCCGGGGCUCAACCUCGGAACUGCCUUCGAUACAGCAAGUCUUGAGUUCGAGAGAGGUGGGUGGAAUUCCUAGUGUAGAGGUGAAAUUCGUAGAUAUUAGGAAGAACACCGGUGGCGAAGGCGGCCCACUGGCUCGAUACUGACGCUGAGGUGCGAAAGCGUGGGGAGCAAACAGG